AUGCAAUGAAAAGGACAUUUCCUGAGCAACUCUUUAAAUCUUUCCCAAGCUUCAUACAAGCUUUUAUCUUCUAGUUGAUGAAAAGAACUGAUCUCAUUUCGUAACUU
Molecule: small nucleolar RNA, 107 nt
Filed under: Citrus sinensis (sweet orange)
Lineage: Eukaryota; Viridiplantae; Streptophyta; Magnoliopsida; Sapindales; Rutaceae
Description: Plant small nucleolar RNA R71
Rfam family: Plant small nucleolar RNA R71
About the family: R71 is a member of the C/D box family of snoRNAs containing the C (UGAUGA) and D (CUGA) box motifs. Multiple nearly identical copies of this snoRNA have been identified in Arabidopsis, and it is thought to function as a 2'-O-ribose methylation guide for 18S ribosomal RNA.
Source: Rfam by way of RNAcentral